AGGAGGGACAAUCAUAAGAUAACUGUUGUUUAGUCGCAAGGACUCGAUUAACUCGUAAGUUCGGAUGAACCCGACUUAGCUUAAAGACAUAUUACUUGAGAGUAUGCAGCGGAAUAACAUAAUCUGAUUACAUGUAUGAAGACAUGUAUCCAAGAGUCCAUUUAUUAAACUUAUGACAAAAGCUCCGCUCAUCACUUCAUCUUCAUCAGCCAUUGCUCAACCUGCACAUUUAGAAAUAUAUGCAGGGCUGAGUACAAAAGUACUCAGUGGGCACGUAUGCCUAAGUAUAAAAAUACAUGCUUCAAAACUGUAAAUUGUCAUGCCAUCAUAAACAGUACAGCAAGGGAGUUUUUACGCUAAAAGGCCCAAGCUUACUAAAUUCAUUUGUGAUUCUUAAAGUUGGUCUGCAGACUAAGCUCUCUUGUAAUCUAUCAUAUCUGGAACUGUGUGCCGGAGAGGUGGCCACCUCUCACGGUCACUUGACCGGCCAACCCGCUAGAUGACUCACGGUCAUUGGUGUACACUAGCCCUGGCAGGAUAGCUAUCAACUGCUCAGGACCCGAAUUCGAUUGCAUCAUUGGCAAAGCCAAAGCAGAUAGAUAUCAUACUAAAAUUUAAACAUUUUAUGGCAAGACAAUACUUGAAAUAACUUUAACUCAAAUAUUUUGUAACGAAAUAACUUGCUCAAAUGUAACAUUAAACUCAUUUGAUAGAUAUAUGUAAAACUGAAAUUAACAGUUAAAUCAUCUCAUGCAUUCAUUCGUAUAAGAGGCCUACGACACGCAGGGGAUCUCUAUAUACGUAUAGUAAAAGUAAUGCCCACCUGAUACGCUUAACGUUGUAGAAACUCUUGCUCACUUAUCUAGCAUUGCUACUGUUACCUUCAGAAUAGCAAGAUUCUAAAAUAAGAUUGAAUAACUAGAUAAGAAGAAAUAGCUAUAAAUAGCAUCCCAAUAAACUUUUAAUCUUUUGCA
Molecule: long non-coding RNA, 974 nt
Filed under: Salvia miltiorrhiza (redroot sage)
Lineage: Eukaryota; Viridiplantae; Streptophyta; Magnoliopsida; Lamiales; Lamiaceae
Description: long non-coding RNA (SMIL_LNC010395)
Source: RNAcentral